This 493-nucleotide ribosomal RNA is filed under the name uncultured bacterium. RNAcentral describes it as "bacterial SSU rRNA". It matches the Rfam family "Bacterial small subunit ribosomal RNA", at positions 355 to 864 of the family's 1533-position model. The record is from RNAcentral.
CAAGGAAUAUUGGGCAAUGGGCGAAAGCCUGACCCAGCGACACCGCGUGGGGGAAGAAGGUUCUCGGAUCGUAAACCCCUUUUCUCAGGGAAGAUAAUGACGGUACCUGAGGAAUAAGUCUCGGCCAACUACGUGCCAGCAGCCGCGGUAAUACGUAGGAGGCGAACGUUAUCCGGAUUUACUGGGCGUAAAGAGAGCGUAGGCGGUUGCUUAAGUCGGGUGUGAAAUCUCCUGACUCAAUCAGGAGGGGUCAUCCGAUACUGGGCAACUCGAGGGCGGCAGAAGGAAACGGAAUUCCGAGUGUAGCGGUGAAAUGCGUUGAUAUUCGGAAGAACACCAGUGGCGAAGGCGGUUUCCUAGGCUGUUCCUGACGCUGAGGCUCGAAAGCGUGGGGAGCGAAGCGGAUUAGAUACCCGCGUAGUCCACGCCGUAAACGGUGAACACUUGAUAUGGGGAGUAUCGACCCUCCUCGUGUCGAAGCCAACGCUUUAAG